AACGUAGGUUCCGAGCGUUAUCCGGAUUUACUGGGCGUAAAGCGCGUUCAGGCGGUUUGGCAAGUCGGGCCUGAAAUCUCUCGGCUCAACCGGGAGAGGUUGUCCGAUACUGCUGGACUUGAGGGCAGUAGAGGGUGGUGGAAUUCCGGGUGUAGUGGUGAAAUGCGUAGAUAUGUCAUAGAACACCGAUUGCGAAGGCAGCUGACGAAACUGUAACUGACACUGAGGCUCGAAAGUGUGGGGAUCAAACAGG
Molecule: ribosomal RNA, 253 nt
Filed under: uncultured bacterium
Lineage: Bacteria
Description: partial 16S ribosomal RNA
Rfam family: Bacterial small subunit ribosomal RNA
Source: RNAcentral